Sitophilus oryzae (rice weevil) is the source of this 1185-nucleotide long non-coding RNA. RefSeq lists it as uncharacterized. The transcript has 6 exons. The record is from RefSeq and is a predicted model, not a curated record. NCBI's taxonomy places the organism in Eukaryota, Metazoa, Arthropoda, Insecta, Coleoptera, Curculionidae.
GUUAUGGAGGGCUUAAAAAAGGAGAUUUAUCGGCAAUGGGCAAAUUUGAAAUUUCUGUCCCCACUUUUAAGCAGCUUCCUCGGUUUGACAGCAGAGGCACUGCGAUCGACUGGGAUACUACAUUUUCAUUUACAACAAUGAGUCGUGGUAGAAAUUGCUUGUACCUGGCUGUACAAGUGGGAAUCCCAAUAAAAACAAGGCAAAUAAAGAACGGGGUGAAAGAAACCCAAGCCUUUUCAAAGCUCCUAAUGAUCCUAGCUUGCUACAGCAGUGGCAAAAGGCGAUACCCAGAUCAGACAAGACACUUAGCAGCAAAGAUGCUGUUUGUGAACUACAUUUUCUAGAUGAAGAUAUUUUGACUCAUUAUGAGAUCAAAUUAACUGACGGAACUAUCAGUAGAAUUGAGCGGGGUAGACCAUUAUUAAAGGAGGGUUCAAUUCCAAGAAUUUUUCCUAACCUGCCUUCAUAUUUCUCUAGUAAUAAAAGAAAGAGGAAACCACCAUGUGUAAGGAGUGAAGCAACUGAAAAAGUUUCUAAUUCAAAAAAAGUAAAAGGUCUGCCUAUUAAUCAUGUUGAAAAUCAAACUUCAGAACCUAACUUUGAGAAUGAGAAUGAAAUUCUUCGUGAUAUUACUAAUGUGCCAGUUGAUGUUACAGACAGUAGAGUUACUAUGUUCACAAAUUUGAAAAAUAGUUUGGCUGCAGUUGGCACACCAAACAAGCGAUGGGCAGGUACAUUUAUUUCAGGUUCAAAUGAAAUAGUCUUUGCUGAGUGGGAUGAUACUUACUUGCCAAAAAAAAAAUUAUAAUUUGCAAGGAUAUGUCUUAUAAGGUUUUAUUUGGGAAAACAGAAAUUACUUUUGAAGAGAAAAGUUCAGAAAUAUCUAGUUUUGAAGAACUUGAAAACAUAUUAAUAUCUGUCAAUAGAAUGGGAGUCUGUUCUGAAAUUAAGCUAUGGUUUGCAGAUUGAAGCGAUUUAAAUGGAAGACCAUUGACUGGAAUGGAAUUAAACAAAUGGCAGAUGCACACAGCAGCUGUCGCUUCUGAUUCAUGCACUGGUGUGAUUCCCCUCAGAAGGCCUGGACAGAAGGGGGCAAUUUCAAAGAAUUGCACCUCUUGUCAAUUGGAUAAUAAAAAUAAAAAAAAGAAAAUGGUUAAGUCAUUGUUAGUAAGGCGCCAUAAAAAA